GAGGAAAAGAAACUAACAAGGAUUCCCCUAGUAGCGGCGAGCGAAGCGGGAAGAGCUCAAAUUUGUAAUCUGGCACCUUCGGUGUCCGAGUUGUAAUCUCGAGAAGUGUUUUCCGCGCUAGACCGCAUGUAAGUCUGUUGGAAUACAGCGUCAUAGGUGGUGACAACCCCGUACGUAAUGCGGAUGCCUAGUGCUUUGUGAUACACUUUCGAAGAGUCGAGUUGUUUGGGAAUGCAGCUCAAAUUGGGUGGUAAAUUCCAUCUAAAGCUAAAUAUUGGCGAGAGACCGAUAGCGAACAAGUACCGUGAGGGAAAGAUGAAAAGCACUUUGGAAAGAGAGUUAAAAGUACGUGAAAUUGUUGAAAGGGAAACGCUUGAAGUCAGACUUGCGUAUUGGAGUUCAGCCGCAAGGUGUAUUCUUCAGUUUGCAGGCCAGCAUCAGUUUUCGGGGGUACAAAAGGGUAAGGGGAAGGUGGCAGCUUCGGCUGUGUUAUAGCCUCUUACUGGAUGUAUCCUUGGGGACUGAGGACUGCAGCGCACUUUUUGCAAGUCCCUCGGGACUUUCUGCGCUUAGGAUGCUGGUGGAAUGGCUUUAAACGACCCGUC
This 605-nucleotide ribosomal RNA is filed under the name Colacogloea effusa. RNAcentral describes it as "partial large subunit ribosomal RNA". It matches the Rfam family "Eukaryotic large subunit ribosomal RNA", at positions 53 to 653 of the family's 3401-position model. The record is from RNAcentral. Lineage: Eukaryota; Fungi; Basidiomycota; Microbotryomycetes; Colacogloeaceae.